RNAcentral lists this ribosomal RNA (363 nucleotides) under Citrobacter freundii. RNAcentral describes it as "partial 16S ribosomal RNA". It matches the Rfam family "Bacterial small subunit ribosomal RNA", at positions 1 to 360 of the family's 1533-position model. The record is from RNAcentral. Lineage: Bacteria; Pseudomonadati; Pseudomonadota; Gammaproteobacteria; Enterobacterales; Enterobacteriaceae. RNAcentral also lists the same sequence under 8 other names.
AAAUUGAAGAGUUUGAUCAUGGCUCAGAUUGAACGCUGGCGGCAGGCCUAACACAUGCAAGUCGAACGGUAGCACAGAGGAGCUUGCUCCUUGGGUGACGAGUGGCGGACGGGUGAGUAAUGUCUGGGAAACUGCCCGAUGGAGGGGGAUAACUACUGGAAACGGUAGCUAAUACCGCAUAACGUCGCAAGACCAAAGAGGGGGACCUUCGGGCCUCUUGCCAUCGGAUGUGCCCAGAUGGGAUUAGCUAGUAGGUGGGGUAACGGCUCACCUAGGCGACGAUCCCUAGCUGGUCUGAGAGGAUGACCAGCCACACUGGAACUGAGACACGGUCCAGACUCCUACGGGAGGCAGCAGUGGGGA